CAGUAGCCACGGUAAUACGAAGGGGGCUAGCGUUGUUCGGAAUUACUGGGCGUAAAGCGCACGUAGGCGGAUCGAUCAGUCAGGGGUGAAAUCCCAGGGCUCAACCCUGGAACUGCCUUUGAUACUGUCGAUCUGGAGUAUGGAAGAGGUGAGUGGAAUUCCGAGUGUAGAGGUGAAAUUCGUAGAUAUUCGGAGGAACACCAGUGGCGAAGGCGGCUCACUGGUCCAUUACUGACGCUGAGGUGCGAAAGCGUGGGGAGCAAACAGGAUUAGAUACCCCAGUAGUCCCUGUCUCUUAUAC
RNAcentral lists this ribosomal RNA (301 nucleotides) under uncultured bacterium. RNAcentral's name for it is "partial 16S ribosomal RNA". It matches the Rfam family "Bacterial small subunit ribosomal RNA", at positions 509 to 807 of the family's 1533-position model. The record is from RNAcentral.